GCUGAGGUGGCGGAGCGGUCAAUCGCAUCAGACUGUAAAUCUGACGGCCGGAAGGCCUACAUAGGUUCGAAUCCUGUCCUCAGCA
This 85-nucleotide transfer RNA is filed under the name Candidatus Woesebacteria bacterium. RNAcentral describes it as "tRNA-Tyr". It matches the Rfam family "tRNA". From Rfam's summary of the family: Transfer RNA (tRNA) molecules are approximately 80 nucleotides in length. Lineage: Bacteria; Candidatus Woeseibacteriota. The record is from RNAcentral.